Long non-coding RNA from Toxotes jaculatrix (banded archerfish), 770 nucleotides. RefSeq lists it as uncharacterized. Lineage: Eukaryota; Metazoa; Chordata; Actinopteri; Toxotidae. The record is from RefSeq and is a predicted model, not a curated record. The transcript is spliced from 2 exons.
CGGGGAUAUAAAAAACACUCUGCAGCCUUUCUCCUUUCAUUCAUCACUUCUCUGAACCACUGGACGUGAGCGGAGCAGCAAGACGCAAAGAUGAAUAAGCUGGGUAUCGCUUCCCUUGGACUUCUGCUUCUGGUUUUCCAUCUGUCAUUAGAGAUGGCCUGGGCGUCUGACAAAAACGCGACGGCCACAAACGCGACGAACCACGCCAGCUCCGAGAGGACCGCCUACCUCAUGCUGCUGCUCCCGCUGGCUCUGGCUUCUGUGCUCCACGUUCGUUGGUCCCAGUAACCGGACUGAUGGCUCUCCACACUAUACACCGUCGUGAAGGUUGGAGGCACGGAGUUAAUCAAAGUUCUUUCAAAGAUUUUUUUUUUUUUUUUUACUCACCCUGAGGAAUUUGUUUUGGAAGGAGCGCACACUGCCGUUGGGACGUGCAGUUCAACAACCGAGGACACGCCUUGAUGCUCUUAGUCGUUAUAGCCACUUCUUGCAGGGGCCUUUCAUGGACUACAUUAAAAUUCAGCUUCAACACCCGUCUCUUGGUUUAGGUGUCUUCUAUAUAUUUUUAACAUGUAAUUCGUGCUACCUGUGCUCCUUAAAAGAAAUCAUAUUAUGGAUACUUGAUUCAGGCUUCAGACCUUAAAGUCAUUGUAAACAAGUUUAAAGUUUUUUGUUUCAAACAGCUGGGAAAAAUGUGACUAAUGUAAACAUGAUUGUGCUUUUAGAUCAGGAAUUUUGCAUUUUGUAAGUUCAAUAAAGUUCUAAAUUGA